AUACAAUGAAACAGGUUGUCUACAGAUCUUCUUUGAUCUUUUCCAAAUAGCGAAAUUAAAUUUCUCCGAUAACUUUUAUAACACAUUUUUUCAAAUACAUAUUUAUAUAAGCAAAUCAUAUGAAACUUCUUUUACGCAAUAAAACAAUUUUUUUCCAUGAAUAAAUGAUAGAAUUAGUAAUAAAAGCUCCUGAAUAAUUGAUAAUGAAACCUUGCUUUUCUCCGCCUUUACGAAGCAGGAACAAUGCACAGCAAUUUGAAUUGAAAAUUUAAAUUCUGAACCGUAAACUAAAAAUUCUGUUUUACCAACAUAAAAAUACUUCACUUUAUGUUACAUUAUGGUGAAUAUCUUAUUUUAAAACUAAUUUAGUAUUCUUCUUAUUUAACACUUACAUAAUUUAAGCGCUACCGGAAUAACGAUAUUUUAUCUUAUCUUAUGAAAAUAUUUCAUUUCAGGUAAUCUAAUAUGUUAUCCUAUUUAGUAGCUCGUUAAGGUAGAAUGUGAAUUAAAAACACGGGGAAUUAAGUGAAAACAUCGAUCACGAGAUGAAGAGAAUGAUCGUUUCUUAAAAGAAAACUUUAUUUCAGUUCGGUUGAUAGAGGACGAGGAUCAUAGUUUGAGCAACGUUGACCUAGAAUAUCUGGUGGAAAAGCGACGAAAGCGGACAGGUACCCGCAGAGAGGCAAAGCGAUAACAAAGCUCUCGCGGGAAGGCUGAAUUGUCGUGGAAUCCUUUGAAAUACGAGAUUGCACCGUCUCGGUGUGUUUCUUCGUUCGCUGGCUGCAAGAUUUCCGUUAGCCUGGGCGAAUCUUUUUCAACGGCAUGGCUACUCGAGCCUUUCGAAUUAUCGAUCCUCAUUGUUGGAGCCGCGGAUGCGACCAAGAGUAUUAUGCGCCAGAAAGAAGCCUCGUUGUUGCUUGCUGUUCCUCUUCCCUACGCGGUCCUUUCUUCAACAAGCCAUAGGCUUGUGUAAAGCGGAUGAAAUCCUUUGGAAAAAUAUUUCUUACGCUUCUAUGGAACACUUGGAGCGUGCCGAUGCGUUUUUGUUCCGAACGCUAUACUUUCGACCAUUGUAGAGCGCAACCUCUGCUACCUUGGACAGAGUAUUCCAGUAAUGAUGAUACAAUGGACAAGAGGGCGACUCUACGCGAGGAAGCAAGUGGAAAGUGCAGUAUAAACAGUUUUUCUUAUGGCGCUAUAUUACUGAGAAAGUCGAGUUUAAACAAAUUUGUUUAGUAUAUGGUGUAAAUAUAUAAUGUGCAAAUAGGUAUUAGGAAAUUUAUAUUUUCUUUUUAUGAGCAUAUUUAUAUUUGUAAAAAGAAAUUUCAUAUGUUUUUGUAUUGAAUGAUUCGUAGUUUAAAUAAUUCCAUAUGUCCAAAUAUAAAAGUCGUUGACCACUUAGUUUAAAUAGAUAUUUUCUUUUCAUAAACGAUGUUAUAGUUGUAAAUGCAAAUUUCGUAUAUUUCUAUUUUGAAUGAUCGCUAGUUUAAAUAGUGUCAUGUAUUCGAAUAUAAAAGACGCUGAUUAAUUUUAAUUAGUAAUCGUAUACUGUAUACAACAUUUCUUAGGUGAAAAUUUA
This is a long non-coding RNA of Bombus pascuorum, 1579 nucleotides long. RefSeq lists it as uncharacterized. The record is from RefSeq and is a predicted model, not a curated record. Lineage: Eukaryota; Metazoa; Arthropoda; Insecta; Hymenoptera; Apidae. The transcript is spliced from 3 exons.